RNAcentral lists this ribosomal RNA (497 nucleotides) under uncultured bacterium. RNAcentral describes it as "partial 16S ribosomal RNA". It matches the Rfam family "Bacterial small subunit ribosomal RNA", at positions 28 to 507 of the family's 1533-position model. The record is from RNAcentral.
GACGAACGCUGGCGGCGUGCCUAAUACAUGCAAGUAGAACGCUGAAGAGAGGAGCUUGCUCUUCUUGGAUGAGUUGCGAACGGGUGAGUAACGCGUAGGUAACCUGCCUUGUAGCGGGGGAUAACUAUUGGAAACGAUAGCUAAUACCGCAUAACAAUGGAUGACACAUGUCAUUUAUUUGAAAGGGGCAAUUGCUCCACUACAAGAUGGACCUGCGUUGUAUUAGCUAGUAGGUGAGGUAAUGGCUCACCUAGGCGACGAUACAUAGCCGACCUGAGAGGGUGAUCGGCCACACUGGGACUGAGACACGGCCCAGACUCCUACGGGAGGCAGCAGUAGGGAAUCUUCGGCAAUGGGGGCAACCCUGACCGAGCAACGCCGCGGGAGUGAAGAAGGUUGUCGGAUCGUAAAGCUCUAUUGUAAGUCAAGAACGGGUGUGAGAGUGGAAAGUUCACACUGUGACGGUAGCUUACCAGAAAGGGACGGCUAACUACGUG